Molecule: ribosomal RNA, 326 nt
Filed under: uncultured Ralstonia sp.
Lineage: Bacteria; Pseudomonadati; Pseudomonadota; Betaproteobacteria; Burkholderiales; Burkholderiaceae
Description: bacterial SSU rRNA
Rfam family: Bacterial small subunit ribosomal RNA
Source: RNAcentral
UCAGCAGCCGCGUGUGUGAGAAGGCCUUCGGGUUGUAAAGCACUUUUGUCCGGAAAGAAAUGCUCUGUUAAUACCUGGAGUCGAUGACGGUACCGGAAGAAUAAGACCGGCUAACUACGUGCCAGCAGCCGCGGUAAUACGUAGGGUCCAAGCGUUAAUCGGAAUUACUGGGCGUAAAGCGUGCGCAGGCGGUUGUGCAAGACCGAUGUGAAAUCCCCGGGCUUAACCUGGGAAUUGCAUUGGUGACUGCACGGCUAGAGUGUGUCGAGGGGGGUAGAAUUCCACGUGUAGCAGUGAAAUGCGUAGAGAUGUGGAGGAAUACCGAU